RNAcentral lists this small RNA (1145 nucleotides) under Cryptococcus neoformans H99. RNAcentral describes it as "Cryptococcus neoformans var. grubii H99 hypothetical RNA". The record is from RNAcentral. Lineage: Eukaryota; Fungi; Basidiomycota; Tremellomycetes; Tremellales; Cryptococcaceae.
AACGGCGCUAACGUCAAGAAGGGUUAUCUCGCUCUAAGCGCCGAGAAUUCUCGAUGGCUUCUUGCCAUUCUUUCCGCGCGGCCUUCUUAUUAAACGCUCGGGAGAUUACUUUCUCCAAGGCUACCUACUUGUUAGCACUUCACUUUCUAGCUUUCCUUUAUUAUUCUUUCUUGUACAGCAUACACUUAUCACAAGUCAAGUCAUCAUUAUUAGUCAGGGGAUCACUACAAUAUUAGGCGCUUGCGAAAUCAAAUGAUGGAUUGCGGCCGAUUAUAUAUUCUUUCAAUUGUGAAGGUGUGAAGAGGCUUCGGCUUCUAAUUGACUUGGACAAGGAAACAAAGCAUGGGCGAAGAGCAUUUGGUCGUUCUUGGUACAAGCCGAAUAUACGAAUGGGGGCGAGGAGGACGGACAACACUGCCUCUUCGGAGAUAAUGCUCAUCCCUACUCUCGGUAAAAUCCAAACGACCCACUCAAUUGGUCCAAAGGCAGAAAGUACUUGAUGCUCGCUUGUGUUUCUCUUAUACUAUAUCGGCCAUCAUCCCAUCUUUAUUCCGUCUUUGAUCCCCCUUCCGCGUCUACCGGUCUUUGUCUUGAUCAACUCAAUGUCGGUACCCGACCGGUUUGAUGGCUAUCGUUCGCGCUGUGCUCUUCUUUUUCCUCGAAGAGCCCUCUUUCCAACGUGAACACCUUAAAAUGUCCACGAAGAGAGCAACAGAUCCGUAACCUCCAUCGACCUAUCUCUGAGGCCUUCGAAUGCUUCCAACUUAUCAGACCAACAAAUGAACAUGGUAUUCAGGCAUGUGCUCAAGAUGCGGCGACAUAUUUGCUUUCGACUAUCUUAUUAGCGAUGUGUUUUACGUUUGGUUUUAAUUACUCAAUCACAGCAUGGCGUUUCGGAUGGGGUUUGAGGAAUUCCGCCAUCUCUUCCACGAUUAUCAUCACGGCGAUCAACACGACGGGUUUUGUAGUUGUCAAAUGGGGAAAGAAGAUGAGAAAAACUCAACAAGCCUAUUACAGAAAAGUUAUCCAUUUGUAGCAUAAGGAUUGUCAGUACACUGAUUAUACAUAAGUUAUCGAUGCGCGUAUUCCUCUCUCUCGAAAUGUUGCGAAAAGGAGAGUGAUGAUGUCAAAUGCUGUAUGCGAAU